This 335-nucleotide ribosomal RNA is filed under the name Cryptosporidium hominis. RNAcentral's name for it is "partial small subunit ribosomal RNA". The record is from RNAcentral. Lineage: Eukaryota; Apicomplexa; Conoidasida; Eucoccidiorida; Cryptosporidiidae.
GUUAAUAAUUUAUAUAAAAUAUUUUGAUGAAUAUUUAUAUAAUAUUAACAUAAUUCAUAUUACUAUUUUUUUUUUUAGUAUAUGAAAUUUUACUUUGAGAAAAUUAGAGUGCUUAAAGCAGGCAUAUGCCUUGAAUACUCCAGCAUGGAAUAAUAUUAAAGAUUUUUAUCUUUUUUAUUGGUUCUARGAUAAGAAUAAUGAUUAAUAGGGACAGUUGGGGGCAUUUGUAUUUAACAGUCAGAGGUGAAAUUCUUAGAUUUGUUAAAGACAAACUAAUGCGAAARCAUUUGCCAAGGAUGUUUUCAUUAAUCAAGAACGAAAGUUAGGGGAUCGAA